CCAAAUGGGAUUUCUGCUAAGGUAAGAGGAUGUGAGGCUAGGUCAGUGAGAUGAGGCAAGGUGAGACAGAACAAGAACUAUGGGAUGGUAGGUGUGCAGCUCUGACCACAAGGCCUCCCUCUGUAACUUAUGAGCAGACCACGGAGGCCUGAGUGUCCCACUUGUCCUGUGCUGAGCUGUAAGUCUGAUAUGUGCAGACCCCAGUGUUGUGAGGCUCCACAAUAUCUGUCCCUUUGAGACACUGCAGACCUUUGAGACACUGCACACCCACCAAAGCCACAUCCCACCAGAAAAUGCCAGCCUCCAAAUAGAGCCACAUGCAACACAUCCAAUCAUUAAUGGCAUGUGAGGCUUAAGCCCGCCCCUAAAGCACUCCGGCCCAAUGAGCAUCCGGGCAGAGACUCUAAACCUCCCCUAUUCCACCUUGGUCUUCCUGCCUGGGACAUUGAGCAUGCUCAGACUUGAGGUCGUUAAGGAACUGCUGAGGAGGUGCUGAGCCGUUGUGGAGGACGUCUGUGGAGUUCAUCUGGUGAGGGCAGUCCCAGGCCAGGGUGGCCAGGCUCAUGGUCUCCUCAGUGUCUGGACUUCCUCACAGCUCUGGUUUUUGAGAGGCUGAGGUGAAGACAAACCUGCCUUCUUGACAGCAAUCUCCUCUAAGACCAGGUCUAGUGAGGCCCUCUUCUCAGAGCCUGGAGACUCCUCACAGCCCAGUUCUUAUGAGGCUGAGAUGCCCUCAGUGAAGAUCUAGGAUGGCAGGAUGCAGUUCUGAAAAAAAUUAUAGGCUCUCAUCCAGAUUAUUAUGGGCUUAACGUUUUCAAUAUUUCUUUACUUCAUCUUAGUACCUGUGGGAUCUGCAAUAUCCCCUUUCUCAUUCCUUAUCAGCAGAAUCUGGAAGAAGAGAAGUUAUACAGUUGCCCCACAGAGAUGCCUCUUUGCUGUCUCAGUCUGGAUGCCUGUGGUAACAGUUGCAGUAGGAACAGCCCACCUGGAAGUCUUCCUGUCAGCAUCACUGGAUCCUGGGAACCCACAAUUUCCUGCUCUUCACCAAGUUCUGGAUAGCCAAACCACAAGAAAACCCUCUAAGGCAGAAAGCCACGAGUCGAUCAUGAAAAGUACCAGGGAAGGGCCAAUGAGAUGGGUAGCUGGGUGGAAGGAAAGAGCUGACUCCUCCUAAUUUGUUCAUUGACCUCCAUAUGAACGGAAUGACAGAAUGGCAUGAUGUGUAUUCUAUGUUCAUUCUUUCUCCAUUGUAUAGAUGUAUGUAUUUCCUCAUCACAAAAUAAGUCGAUAGAUGGAUGUUAUUAUUUUAAAUACCAAUCAGAAGAUUUCUAUACACUUAUCUUAUGAUAUAAUUAAUUUUUAAAAUAAUGAAAAAAAUCUCACACAGCUCACAACUGUUUGUAACUCCAGGAGAAGAGGAGUUGACACUCUCACACAGGCAUACAUGAAGGCAAAACACUAAUGUACAUAAAAUAGCAAAUAAACAAUUAAAUAUUUGUAGGAGCUAGUGGGGUCAGGAGUCCUACAAGCAUCCCACAGAACUAACUAACCUAGGUUCAUAGUGACUCAGAGACUGAACCACCAACCAGGGAGCAUGCAUGGGACUGACCUAUGUCCUCUCCAUGUAUUUUAUAGUUGUAUAACUUGAUAUUCUUGUGAGAUUCCUAACGGUGAGAGCAGGGCAUGUCUCUAAUGCCUGCUUUUGGGACCCAUUCCUCUUACUGAAUUGCUGUGUCCAGCCUUAAUGUAAGAAGUCAUGCCUAGUCUCACCACAACUUCAUAUAACAUGGCAGGCAGAAAUGCACAGGAGGCCUGUCCAUUUCUGAAGAGAAAAAGAGAGAAGGAGGAAUGGAUGGGGAGCAGGAAGAGUGGAGGGUGGAGGAGGGACUGAGAGGACAGGAUGGAGGGGAAAUUUUGGUUAGGAUAUAAAAACAGAAAUAAACAAAUAAAUAAAACCAAAUUUAUUCCAAAAGAGGAAGAAUAUUGAUGGUUACCAUAUUUAAAUUUGAGAUACUAAAAGAAUGUCCCUCCAGGGACUUUGCCACUUAUUUUAACUUUAUAAUGUGUUUCCACUUAUAAGGGAUUUCUGGGGAUGUCUUUCUGUAUGCUGUGAAUGUGUUGCUCUGAGUGAUUGAUAAAUAAACGCUAGUUGGACAGUAGCCAGGAAAGAAGUAUAGUAUUGGCAGUAUAAGCAGAGAGGAGAAUGCUGGGAGUGGAAGGAUGUGUCAGGAGCCGCGUACCGCCACCAUGAGAAGUAAGAUGUAAAGUGCCAGUGAGCAACAAGCCACAUGACAACUUAUAGAUUAAUAGAAAUGGGAUAAUUUAAGAUAUAAGAA
Non-coding RNA from Peromyscus maniculatus bairdii (prairie deer mouse), 2336 nucleotides. The record is from RefSeq and is a predicted model, not a curated record. NCBI's taxonomy places the organism in Eukaryota, Metazoa, Chordata, Mammalia, Rodentia, Cricetidae.